CAGUCGCCGCGGUAAAACGUAGGGUGCAAGCGUUAAUCGGAAUUACUGGGCGUAAAGCGUGCGCAGGCGGUUCUAUAAGACAGAUGUGAAAUCCCCGGCCUCAACCUGGGAACUGCAUUUGUGACUGUAGAGCUGGAGUGCGGCAGAGGGGGAUGGAAUUCCGCGUGUAGCAGUGAAAUGCGUAGAUAUGCGGAGGAACACCAACAGCGAAAGCACUCUGCUGGGACGACACUGACACUAAGAGACGAAAGCUAGGGGAGCGAAUGGGAUUAGAUACCCCGGUAGUCCCUGUCUCUUAUAC
This 301-nucleotide ribosomal RNA is filed under the name uncultured bacterium. RNAcentral describes it as "partial 16S ribosomal RNA". It matches the Rfam family "Bacterial small subunit ribosomal RNA", at positions 509 to 807 of the family's 1533-position model. The record is from RNAcentral.